This 117-nucleotide ribosomal RNA is filed under the name Anaerococcus octavius. Lineage: Bacteria; Bacillati; Bacillota; Tissierellia; Tissierellales; Peptoniphilaceae. The record is from RNAcentral. RNAcentral also lists the same sequence under 5 other names.
UAUGGUGAUGAUGGCAUGAGGGAUACACCUGUUCCCAUACCGAACACAGAAGUUAAGCCUCAUUACGCUGAUGGUACUCGGAGGGUGACCUCCCGGUAGAGUAAGAAAUCGCCAAAU